UGUAGCUAGAAGAAUGCUUAUGACAUAUGGAUGGUACCAUGUCUAGUAGUCCCAUGCAUGUGUAGUUCAAUGUCUGUCCAUUGUUGAUCAGCUACGUGGCUCGAGUGAGCCUAGUCAUCUGGCUUGGGUACACAGAUGCUAGGAGGAAGCGUUGUUGUCGACUUAGUCAGCUACCCUAGACCAAUAGGCGAGGUAAAUAGAGAUGAAGAUGCAAGUAAAAAGCACCCCCUGAGUCUAGACCUAGCUAUGAGGCAAGGCAAGGUGACUCCGAAGAUGGCCUGCUAUAGUAGGACUUCAAGAAUGGGUCAUGGGCAUCUAAAAAGCUCCAAGAGAGGAAGAUAACCAUCUUAGCAAAAUAGUGAUGGGUGCUACCUUCAUCCUGACUCCUAGUAUGAAAAGGUUGAAGACUCUAAGUUUCAUGAAGAAAGUGUCGUUUCGAUAA
Molecule: long non-coding RNA, 442 nt
Organism: Sorghum bicolor (sorghum)
Lineage: Eukaryota; Viridiplantae; Streptophyta; Magnoliopsida; Poales; Poaceae
Exons: 3
Source: RefSeq, a predicted model, not a curated record